Lotus japonicus is the source of this 10147-nucleotide RNA transcript. It is a transcript of the gene named protein VAC14 homolog, with no coding region annotated. The transcript has 46 exons. NCBI's taxonomy places the organism in Eukaryota, Viridiplantae, Streptophyta, Magnoliopsida, Fabales, Fabaceae. The record is from RefSeq and is a predicted model, not a curated record.
GUUUAAAAAAAAUAGAAACGCUUCCCCUUUCACCUUACUUUGUUCCUUUUGUCCUUCUCUGAGCCGUUUCUCUAGGUUUUGAAAAUCCUUUAAAACCUUCCUUCGUUUCUUUUGUAGGAUGUUUUAGGAUUUUGUAGCGAAUGACCUACUCCCUAUUGUUAUUGCUGCUUGCACUUGCCUGAUUCGUAACUUUUGCAGGACUGGGAGGACUAUGAAGGCGGCGCGAGUCAUGGAGAUUCUGGAGGGUCCGAAAUUGACAGAUUUGGGAGAGAUGCUUUCUGCAAUUUUUCAGGGCUCCAUGAAUCCCAUGUGUCGGAGAUGCAUCAGGGCUUUAGAGCCGUUCUACCACCUCUUCAUUUCUAAAGGCGUCGCCGUUCCAUUCACCUCUUCUAGUUUCCCUUCUGUGGUCAUACUGAAAUAAAUUGGAGAGGAAAACAAAGGCUUAUGAAUUGAUUUGGGGUGAAUUGACUUCGAAAAUAAAGUUCUCGCUGAGGAGAAUCAUUCUUCAGAAGAGCGUUGGCAAAGUGAAAUGAGGCUUCAGCCCUCCCCAUGUUCGCGAGCUUGCUUUUGCUGCCAAGAUUCUGUCUAAAAUCGAUGUUACUCUUUGCGGUCGCCGUAUUGGCUUAUCUCUUACUCCAAUAAACGAAAACAGAAAACAAGGGAGAUGCAGUGAACAACAACGACUUAAAAUGGUAGACCUUCAGAAGGCCAUUCGAUCAGCGCUGUGAAUGUGAUUUCUCUCUGGCCGCUAAAAAUAGCUGAUCUAAGGAUGCAAAGUGACUGCAUGGAGAAUGGGGCAGCUCUGUGGUUAGUUCAGUAGAAUCAGCCAAGGCUGAUGGGCUAGAUGCAAUGGCUAGGGUUGGAAUCCUUUGUGAUCUUCAUUGGAGCUUUUUGGUUUUCACCCAAGACCCAGUAGCAUCCAAAAAGAAGAAGCCUCAAACACAGUGAAUGGUUAACCAGUUCUUUGGUGUGAUGAGGCUGCAACUCAUGAUGCUUAUUCCCAAAAGAAGUAUUAGCAGCAACAACAGAAAAAGCAAAAAGGAGGUCUCUCGAAAGCUACCACUUGCGGAGUUAUUCAAUUUCAGAAUCAGAAGUGAAAGAUCUCCGAAACUGAAAUUAAGUUGGGGUAUUCAAAGAACCUGAUGAUUCUAUCCUGAGACAAAGAAUGACUUCAGUCACCAGCUCAGGAAACAAUUAGACUGUGAGGUGAAAAUCAGAAAUGGCGUGAAGAGGACAAAUGCUGGAUUGUGAGGGGAAGUCAUUUUAGGGUCCAAAACCUGAAGUUUAAAAUUAGUAAGCACUAUGGAAUUGUCAAAAGGGAACAUGCAGUACCCCAAGUGACACUUUCGGCUAUCAGAUAAUAAGCUCUCAUUGGUGCGUUACAAGUUUGGAUGUUUGAAUAUAGAUCAACCACAACAUACAUAUUGGUAAAUAAUGUACUGUCAAUAUUUUCUUUACAUAACUGUAAGCCAACAAUCAAGAAGAGCAAGGUACCUAUUAAUGGUGGUGACGAAGCAGUGUCUAUAGUGCAGGAAAUUGAUGAUGACUAUCAAACUGGAGAACUUUUUAGUGAUGCAUGUGAUGAAGACAAUAAUGAUUCUACUACAUCAAGGUUUGAGAGACUUAAGAAUGAAGAUAUGACACAAAGUCUCAUAGACGAAAGGGGUUCUUGGAUCUGCUUCUGUUAGUAUGGGAUGAAAAGCUUGACGUCGAGGACUAAAAACAGAGCGUUUGAUAUGUUGAGGAUGAAAAACAGAAAAAAUAUUUCAAAAGGACUAAAAACCAAAAUAUGGUAUAUUAUAAGGAAAGUCAUUUUUAUAGUACUUCAAAUGUUGUUUACAAAGAAGUUUUUCGCAAUGUCAGAUAAGUAGAUUUUUUACAUCCUUAUUACAAUAUUUAAAUCCAAAUAAUCAAAAUAUUACUUACAUAAUACUACCUCCGGUCCUACGUAUAAGAAGCAAAAAAAAAAGGUAGUUAAACUAGAUAAAAUGCAUUAAAUUUGUCUUGAAUUAAAAUAAACUACCAUUUGUUAUUAGUGUUUGAAUGUGGGAAAGAGAGAGAAUAAUUAAUGAAACACAUUUUACAAGUUUGAAUUAAUAAGGGAUCAUUGGAAAAAAAAUAACUAAUAUAGGAUAAACUUUCAUUUGGUUCUUAUAAAAAAUACCAAGAUUUUUCUUCUUUUUCAUGCUUAUAAAUAGGACUCGAGGUAGUAAUUAAUGUAUACAGACGACGGAGAACAAAAAUAGCAACUAUAGACCCAUCUCCAUGAGAAUAUUGAACUACAAUUUAGUCAGACCAAUUAUUAGUUUUAGUUGCAUUCACAUUGUAAUGAUUUCAACUGAAAACAAAUAAAAAAAUUUCAAGCGCCAAUGAUAAGUUCAUACUCCCUCCGUUCCUUAUUAACUGUCCAUUUUGAAGAAAAAAAUUUGUUCCUAUAUAUCUGUCCACUUAGAGUUUCAAGAGAGCAUUAAUUGAUGUUUUUCCAAGAAAUACCCUUAUAGAAACAAUAAAUGAAGAAAGAUAAAAUACAUUCUAAAGGGUGAUAUAGGAAAAUAAAUAGUACUUUUAUGAAAAUCAACAUAAUUAAUUGAUUUCCUUAAUUUGUAUGAAUCUUCUCUUCCUGGACAGAUAAAUAGGAACGGAGGAAGUAUAUGUUACUUCACCUCUCUGCUUUAAACUAUGAAACUUUAAUAUAUAAAAGCUCUUGUUCAACAAGGCCUCUACAAUGUCCGCAAUGUCUGCGUUCCUCAAAGCUUGCUAUAUUUGGUUUGUGGGUUUGCGUUUCUCCAACAACCAUGGUGGACGCUCUCUUGGUGGUUACGGCAGCCGUUCUCUGCACCCUCGCGCGCAAGAAUGCUGCCCUCGAGGCUUUCCUGACUCAUAUGGCAAUGUACAAAGUGCUGCUCAGCUCUUAGACCGACUCGUGAAGGAUAUUGUGACUGAAAGUGACCAGUUCAGUAUUGAAGAAUCCAUACCAGUGUUGAGGGAGUGCAUGAGUGUAUUGAAUCCAUUUGUUCGCCAGUUUUUGGAAGGAUGGAUUACUGUGUUGGACAGUGUCCCAGAUAUUGAUAUGCUGGGUUUUCUUCCUGAUUUUCUUGACGAUUAUGGUCGAAUGGCUGAAAUUCUGGUCCAGAGGGCAGGUUCUCCAGAUGAAUUUACGAGGUUAACAGCUAUCACAUGGAUAAAUGAGUUUGUCAAAUUUGCAGGAGACCAGCUUGUUCCAUAUUAUGCUGACAUUCUUGGAGCCAUUUGGCCUUGCAUAUCCAAUAAAGAGGAGAAAAUUAGAGUGGUUGCCCGGGAAACCAAUGAAGAGUUACGAGCAAUCAAGGCUGAUCCAGUAGAAGUUUUUGAUGCAGGAGCAAUCCUAUCCAUUACUAGGAGGCAACUGUCUAGUGAAUGGAAAGCCACUCAAAUUGAAGCAUUGCAUUGGAUAUCAACCCUUUUAAGCAUACAUUGUACUGAGGUUUUGACAUACCUUGAUGACAUAUUUGACACCCUACUCAAAGCACUUUCCGAUCCAUCUGAUGAGGUUGUGCUUUGAGUUCUUGAUGUUCAUGCGUGCAUUGCAAGAGAUCCUCAGCACUUCAGACUGCUUGUUGUUUUCCUAGUGCACACUUUUUCGGCUAGAUAAUUCUUCUCUUUUGGAGAAGCGUGGUGCUUUGAUAAUCCGCCGUCUUUGUGUUCUUUUGAAUGCCUAGAGAGUCUACCGGGAAGUUUCGACAAUACUAGAAGGAGAAUCAGAUUUGGAUUUUGGAUCACUUAUGGUUCAGGCUCUGAAUUUGAUCUUACUUACAUCAUCGAACUUAUCUGAGAUUCGAGAUCUUUUGAAGCAAUCACUGGUUAAUCCUGCACGGAAGGACUAGUAUGUGUCUCUGUAUGCCUCUUGGUGUCAUUCUCCAAUGGCAAUUAUAAGUCUUUGCUUUUUAGCACAGACUUACAGGCAUGCAGUGCUGUGAUUCAAUCUCUGGUUGAGGAGGAUAUACAUGUCAAGUUUCUGGUCCAUCCGGAUAAAUUGAUUCGCUUGAUGGAAACUCCAAUCUUUGCUUAUCUUAGAUUACAGAUUUUGUUAUUCCAGAAGGAUGGUUCCAUUUCUUUCCGCCGUUCAUUUAGAUGUUUGUGUAUAGUGGAGCUCUAAACUUUAAUCCUUGGAGAUAGAUGAAAUUUUAAAUGAGGUUAGUCCCUUCCUUAUUUUAUCACAUCUUGUAACUGAGUAGAAACUUGAGUAUUGAAGAAGAAUUAUUCCCAUAAAGUAAAUUAUGUAACUUAUUAUGAAUUAUUACAUGGUAUUUUUUAUUUUUAUAAAUACGUAAAUUAAAAUUAAAAAUAUAUGUAGCUGGUUGGAUUUUAGUUGGUUUUUUGUUGUUGAAAAUUGAAAUAGAAUCAAGAGACCUAUGUGUCGCGCGCUUCUUUCAUUUGUUUGCAUUGCAGUUAAAACAAAAUUAAAACCCACGGCUUGUUACGCAUGAUUGCCUCUUGGCUUCAUCUUUACGCAUUAGGCACAUCAUAAAUACUUGACCACUUCAAUUUUACCCCCAAUUUAAAGAAAUAUAUAGCUAAUGAAGGUGUCGCCAAGAACACAUAAUUGUGCUUGAAAGAAAAUUAUAAAUCACAAAUCACCGAGGUAUCCCAUUAUGGUGAGGUUGCUUGAGGUGAUCAUGGCCCAUGUGAUUUCAGAAAUGCCUAAUUGUGAUUAUUAGAGGGAAAUAUUAAAUCACAGAUCACCGAGGCAUCCAGAUGUAGUGAGGUUGCUAGAGGUGAUCAUGACCCAUUUGAUUUUGGAAACACAUAAUUAUGAUUAGAAGGAAAUUAUAAUUGUGAUUUCUGGGAAAUGAUAAAUCACAGAUCUGAUGCAUCCCAAUAUGCUGACGUUGCUUGAGGUGAUCAUGACCCAUGUGAUUUCCGAAACACGUAAGCGCUUUUAUUUUAGGAAAAUUAUAAAUCACAUAUCACCGAGGCAUCCCAAUAUAGUGAGGUUGCUUUAGGUGAUCAUGACCCAUGUGAUUUCGGAACUACAUAAUUGUCAUUGGAGGGAAAUUAUAAAUCACAGAUUACCGAGGCAUCCCAAUAUAGGGAGGUUGCUUGAGAUUAUCGUGGCCCAUGUGAUUUGGAAACACACUUGUUAUUGGUGGGAAAUUAUAAAUCACAAAUCACCCUAAAAUGGGAAUGAUGAGAGAAUGUUAAUCAUGUAAAUUAUGACCCUUAAGUCUUGACAAUGCUAAUCCUGAUUAUGGACCCUUGUUGCCUUUUGGGUAAUGAUAAUUUGAGGGCUGACCCUUUUGAUGGUAAUCAUCAAUGCGAGUUCGUAAAAUAAGUCCCUAAAACGAGAUGGUAAAUCAUGUAAAUUCCGACCCUUAAGUCUUGAGAAUGCUAAUUCUGAUUAAGGACCCGUGUUGCCUUUUGGGUAAUGAUAAUUUGAGGGCUGACCCUUUUGAUGGUAAUCAUCAAUGCGAGUUCGUAAAAUAAGUCCAUAAAAUGACAUGGUUAAUCAUGUGAACAAUGACCAUGAUGUAGCGAGAAUGCUAUUCUGAUUGUGGACCCUUGUUGCCUUGCGAAUAAUAAUAAUUUGUGGGUAGACAUUUUUGAUGGAAAUCUUCUAUAGGAAUCACUAAAACGAGAUGGUUAAUCUUGUGAACAAUGUACCUAGAGUCGUGAGAAUGCUAAUUGUGAUUAUGGACCCUUGUUGCCUUUCGAAUAAUGAUAAUUUGUGGGCUGACCCUAUUUGACGGAAAUCACCAAUGCUUGCCCCUAAAACGAGACGAUUAAACAUGUAAACAAUGACCCUAAAGUCGCGAGAAUAUCAAUUUCGAUUAUAGACCCUUGUUGCCUUUCGGAUAAUGAUUAUUUGAGGGUCGACCCUUUUGAUGGAAAUCAUUAAAGUGAUUCCCUAAAACGAGAUGGUAUAUCGUGUGAACAAUGACUCUAAAGUCUUGAGAAUGCUAAUUCUGAUUAUGGACCCUUGUUGCCUUUCGGAAAUGAUAAUUUGAGGGUUGACUGUUUUGAUGGAAAUCAUCAGUCCCUACAACGAGAUGGUAAAUCAUGUCAACAAUGACCCUAAAGUCGCGGUAAUUCUAAUUGUGAUUAUGGACCCUUGUUGCCUUUCGGAUAAUGAUAAUUUGAGGGUUGACUCAAAUUUGGUGGCAGAAUAGUUUUCUACCAAGGUACCUUUCCUUGCUGUUCUUUGUCUUGGUCUAUUUCCUUUAUUGUUUUCUUUGAAACCUUGUAUGUGUAUGUCUGACCUUACGAAAUCACGUGAUGUUUUUUUCCUAGGCUUUUGUCCAUUGCAGAAGAGACUUUAGCAGAAUUAAUAUUUAAGGCUACAUUUGGAACCACUGUUGAGCGAGUUCUGAUGCCUGAAAUGAAGGUUGCCGAAAUUCUUUAAUCAUAGGCCUUCUCGGUAAAGCUACUUAGUGUGUAAGAAUGAUGGGGGUGUGCGCUACAAAUCUGGAACAGAUGGUUUUCUAUAUCCUUGAAGCUUGGAAUUAGACAAGCAAGCUCGCUGUGCAUAGAUAACAUUAAAUCUUGUUGAUUUUUGAUUGGGAUUGACGACAUUAGGAUAUUGGAACCAUUGGGUCGAAUAGUUGCCAUUAGACGGUGUUGAAUAAAUUCUUGGUGGGAUGAUGUUCUUCCUUGGAAGUGGUGGCGAUCAGCGGUGGAAGGACAGAAAUUGUGCUUGCUCAGGACGUAACUCACCUGAAACUUUUUCAAAAUAUUUUUUCAUGUACUGAUCUGCGCCAUCCACCAAAGGCUUUGAAAGAGCUACAUUCUGAUUGCUUGAAUCUUUGCAAAAGCCUUUUACGUCGAAAUCGAGUUAUUUCAUGUAAAAUUGAUGGGUCCGAGAGGAGAGAUUGACAUUCAAGGAGUUCUGCCUGCGUGAUGAGUAAAAGAAUGCAGAGGAGGUAGUGCCGGUGUCCUACUCAAGAACGUUCGCCAGUGUGUAAUCAAGAACAUGCUACCGAUGGGAUGUGUAAUCUUUGCAUUCUCCGGUGGGUCUUUGCGUCUUCAGUCAUUAUAACAAAUCAUAUAUUCUCCUUCAUAAUCAUUGACAUUCUCGCGGGGUGUUUUGGAUUAUUGUGGUGAUGGAGACCCUGCUGCUUACAUCAGUUGCCAUGGCAGAGUUUCUGAAAUCCAUUGCUCACCAUUUCAUGUGGCAAUUAGAUCACCUUCAGAAAUUGUGGGUUUGCACUUGCUACUUGGUUUAGAAAUGGAGAUGAUGGUUUCUUAGUAAAUUAAACAAUACAAGCACAUGUUUAUUCCUCAUUAAUUGCUGCUAUAAGCUAGAGUGACCUUGUCAAAUAACAACUUAUCCCAAAAGCUGAAGCUGUUGGUGCCUUGAUUUAUUGUUGUACUAGGUUCGCACCUCAGCAGUUGGCAGAUACACUAUAUGAUUCACCUUAUCACAUGGCUGCAAUGGUAAUUGAAAGUCAAAAGUAUGAGACCAUGGUGCAGGCUGAUUUAUGGAGUGUUGGGGCAAUAUUGUAUCAGCUAGUGAUUGGGAGGCAGCCAUUCAAUAGAAAUAUCAAUUUUGCAGCUUUUUCAAAUUAUUUUGUCAUGUACUGAACUGCACCUUCCACCAAAGGCUUUGAAAGAGCUACAAUCUGAUUGCUUGAAUCUUAGCACAAGCCUUUUACAUCGAAAUCCAGUUAGAGCUCAUUUAGAAAACUUUUCCGAACUUGGACUUCAACGUGCAGAGGAAAGAUUGACAUUGAAGGAGUUCUCCAAUCACAAUUUUCUACGGGAUCUCAGGUGAUAGGUCAGUACUUGGACUUCAACGUGCAGAGGAAAGAUUGACAUUGAAGGAGUUCUCCAAUCACAAUUUUCUACGGGAUCUCAGAUAAUGAUAAUUUGUGGGCCGACUGUUUUGAUGGAAAUUGUUAAAAUAAUGAUAAUUUGAGAGUUGACCCUUUUGAUGGAAAUCAUUACAGUUUGUCCCUAAAACGAGAUGGUGAAUCAUGUGAACAAUGACCCUAAUGUCGUGAGAAUGCUAAUUCGGAUUGUAGACCCUUGUUGCCUUUUGAAUAAUCAUAAUUUGAGGGUUGACUCAAACUUGGUGGCAGACUAGUUUUCUACCAAGGCUCUUGUCCAUUGCAGAAGAGACUUUAGCAGAAUUAAUUUUUAAGGCUACAGUUGGAAUUGCUAUUUAGUGGGUACUGAUGCCUGAAAUGAAGGUAAAGCUACUUAUGCAAGAAUGAUGGGGGUGUGUGCGCUACAAAUCUGGAACAGCUGCUGGGUUGCAUGUGCUUCAAGAAAAGAACCUCAUACAUGAUAUUUAAAACCACAGAUUUACAUUUGUGGGUUUGCACUUGCUACUUGGUUUAGAAAUGGAGAUAACUUACUGUUGGCAACUACUGCAGCUACACCAAUAAUGAAAAUAGGAAAUUUUGGGUUUGCCAGGUGAGCACCACUACCGUUGGCAGAUACACUAUGUGAUUCAGCUUAUUACAUGGUUGGAAUGGUAAUUGAAAGUCAAAAAUAUGAUGCCAAGGUGCAGGCCGAGUUAUGGAGUGUUGGGGCAAUAUUGUAUCAGCUAGUGAUUGGGAGGAAGCUAUUCAAAAGAAAUAUCAAUUUUGCAGUUAGAGCUCAUGUAGAAAAUUUCUCUGAACUUGGACUACAAUGUGCAAAAGAGAGAUUGAUAUUCAAGGAGUUCUCCAAUCACAACCUCCUACGGGGUUCCAGGUCAUAAUUUUCUUCUAUUUUUAUUUCCAAUUCAUGUAUCCAUGUUUCAUUUUUUUUCCCAUGUUAUACCUACUUACUUGUUGCAAUCUCUUAUGUUCUUACCUUACAAGUGAUAGGUUAGUGAUGAAUAUUGAACAGUCGCAGUUACAUCAGUCAGAGAGAUCAAUGGGUCAUCAAGUAGAUGGCUCUGCCUCAUAAGAUGUCUUUGUUAAAUUUAUAGUAUCAGGGUGAGUCAUUUGCAGAUGAUCCAGUGGUAGUCAGCUAAAAUGUCAAAACCAUGCUUUUGCAAUAAAAGGAUGGGAAGAUUACAGUGGGCACUUAGAGUGUUAAAGGGUCUACUACAACUAUUUCAAGUGAUGAGCUGGGGUAUUCUUUUGGCGCUUGCACUCAUUUGUCAAACCAACCUCAGGGUCUAUUACUCUCCGAAUACUGGGGUUGAGCAUGUUUAUUUGACCCGACCCAAACCCGACUUAACCGAGCCAAAAACAGCAUGAAUGGGCGGGUCGGGUCGGAUACAUUAUAACGGGUCAAACCGCCAAGGUUCCAGAUGAGUAGACACGGUCGAGUUCGGGUUGAAUUUUUAAAACCCGUCGAAACCCAACCCGACCCGUAUAUGUAUAGUCUAGAUGUGCAGGUCUAUCUUUGAAUGUGUAUCAUGACUAUCACACACAAUGCCUAGUCUAGCUGUGCAGGACUAGCUUUGAAGGUUGCAAGUGUAUCAUCAUUAUACACUUUUUUUAUUUGUAAAGAUGUUACAAGUCUGAUGCAAAGUCAGAGAUGUCCAUCACUUAUUAAUUUAUUAUACUACUUUUUUACUGGGAAAAGUUAAAGCUUAUGGAAAUUUCAAAGUGUAUUACUCCAUCAAACAAAACUAAAAAACCAGCAAAUGUAAACCCACUCUCAAUACUCUAUCUUCCCACUCUGACACUCUCCUUUACCCAACACAAUGGACCGCAUGGCUUGAUAAUUCGGUUGAAGAUUUCCAUGGCCAAGGCUUCGCCCCACCGCGAACAUCAAUGCAACACUACUUUCUGCUCCAAAACCACCACCUUAACCGCCUCUUCCUCCGCCCAUCUCUCUAACACGCCUCCGUCAAGCCCCAUGCGUUCUUCUCCAACCUCUGCUGGGCCACCAUACACUAGAUCUGAUAGUCACAAACACUGCAAGAUGAAAGCUUUUUCGUGUAAUUGUAGGAUCUGUGCAUGCAUGUGGUGGAUUGCUCAUUCUCUUCGACCGGAGGUUUCCAGAGUUGUGGUUGCUCAUAGUCUUUGUUGGUGACUAAAAGAUGAAGCUAAGGAUUCACUAUUUAGAGUUUGUUGAACAAUUGAUAGUCAAUAAUUUUUCUUUUAUGUACUUUUAUCUUCUCUACAAUAUGUUUUCAAGACUUCUUAUUCUCUGUACUAAGUUCUGUUCUAUGUAAUUCUACUAUAUUUUUUCAACGUUUUUCUAUAAUAAUUCUUCUCUAUUUUUUUAA